Molecule: long non-coding RNA, 2104 nt
Filed under: Olea europaea subsp. europaea
Lineage: Eukaryota; Viridiplantae; Streptophyta; Magnoliopsida; Lamiales; Oleaceae
Source: RNAcentral
CAAUCAUUUUGUUACAUGCAAACAUAUACACAAGGCAGUCUCGCUAACUGAUUUACGUUGCUGGCCAAAUCUUACUAGGAGAUGAGAAGGCAACUUACCUUUUCUGUCUUUCUGAUGCCACCCGUUAUAUAUCUUGCAGGUUUUCUAUUAUAAAACCUUGUUGUGGUCAUACAAAACUCCACCUUUCAAGAGAAUGAUUAGAAGCAAUUGAGAGAAUCACAACUAUUCAAGCUAUUACUAUAAGUUGUAUAUUAAUCUCCAUAAACGUGUCAACUUGCAAUUUUUUAUUUAAUUAGUUCCUAAUGCAUAUGAAUCAAUACAUUCAUAUGUGCUUGAAAUAUAAGAAUGAGCAGAAUCAAUAUAUUUUUGAGAUAUUUUAUUCUUUUUUUUUUUUUUUUUACUGAGUCAUUUUGGUGGUUUUCAGUGGCCUGUCCUAUCUCUAAAUGCAUGUCAUGAAGCUUAUAUUGUUCACAUAGAAAAUAUUGUAUUUCUGAGUUGCUCUACAGAUGAAUUUGUGCUCUUCAUUUGACUUCAUUUUAUUUGUGUCAUCUUACCAGGUUAUUGGUCUAUAUUGAUUGGGAAAAUCUUUUUUUGUCAAUCAAAUUCUCUCCCUUUCAAAUUAUGAAGGUGCUAUUUAUUUAUUUAGGCACGUAACAUGUUACUAUUACAGAUGUUAUCUUGUGAUCUGAUUUCUUCUUAUUCCUGAGAUUUCAAAUUCAAAUUUAUGUGUGAUACUAAGACAAAAGGUAUAUCGUAUAGCAGAUUUACUGGGAUAUGGCUUUUGUCUGUAGGACAUAGGUGACAAGCCAUUUCUAGAUGUGGCUCAACCUAUUUAGUUGAUUUUCUCAUUAUUAUGGGUUUGUGGAGCUCCAUUGGAAUUGGAUAUACAUGGAGUAAAAACUUCUGUUUUCUAUCUUCUAUCUUGAUACAGAGGUUUUGAUAAUGUUUGGAAAUUAAAUGUAUAUGAUGAUAGGUAAUAUCCAAAGUACAUUGUUACUUUUUUUCUUCUCAAAACUUACAUAUUAAAAGGAAAAUAUUGUCUGUCAACAGAUACUUGUGAUUUUUACAUAUUCUGUCUUUCAGGGUUUUUGCCCUAGCGAUUGUCGCAAGUUCUAUGCUUAUAUAUAACCUAUCUGAGAUGGUUUUCCUGUGCCGCGUGAUGAUGUGUUGAGUCAAAAUACAUAUCCAGGUCAUAUUAUGGAUAUGUCAAAGGUGGUGCAAAACAUUCUUUUCAUAAAUGAUAGCAUGUACUCACAAUGUAUUGGUCCUUACUCACGUUUAGAAACUUUAUGUGGAUGUUUACAUACGAGUUUUGAGUUAACAAAAGCAUAUAAUUAAGUGUCAUUAGUCCAUUUAUAAUUUUCUCUAAACAGAGUUAUCUUAGUAAGCCUUAAAGCCUAGAGUUCAUUUUCUUGGUAUAUAUGUAUUUAUAUGUUUCGAGUUAAAAUAAUAUAUUGGUUUAAUUUUAUGCUUAGGUUCAUCAUUUGUAGUUGAGCUUGUUGAAGAAGUUUAUGGCAGGUAUUUAAUAACUUGUAGGCUUAGCAAUGUCACAAAUGCUAUAGACUUAGGUUAAUUUAAUUUACUGUUAUCCCCAGUUUCCAAAAUUUUCCACUUAUAAUAGUUUGUUUUUCAUACAUGUACAUACUUCCUUAACAGAGUCAAUGUAGUCAUUGCACCUUUCUAAUGUUUUAUAAGAAUAUUAUCUUAACAUGCUAAAUAAAAACAAAGAAAUGAGUUCUCAGGACAUCAUCUUUGCUCUCUACUAAUGUUUACAACAGGGGCAAGAUGUUGCUUUUGGACCAGCAAAGCUCUUGUGGCUAAUGCAGCACGAUUUUCUACAUAAUUCUUUCUAUGAUGUUUAAGAAUGACCUGUGGGCAUGAAAUGUCAUGUUAUUAUGUUAUAUGCACGUAUUGUAAAUGACAUCCUUUUCCCUUCUAUAAUGGAAGCUUAGUUUAAUUUUUGGUGUUCAUGGGUCGUCCUUUUUGAGAUAGAAUGUGAUUGUAAAAUUGCUUCUUUCCGUUUUCUUUUGUUAGUUCAAGUGCUCUAUUUUGUGAUUUCUUGAACUUCUCGAUCAUUUUAGUCAUUUUUGGCACGUGUAGUGGG